Molecule: ribosomal RNA, 253 nt
Filed under: uncultured bacterium
Lineage: Bacteria
Description: partial 16S ribosomal RNA
Rfam family: Bacterial small subunit ribosomal RNA
Source: RNAcentral
UACGGAGGGUGCAAGCGUUGCUCGGAAUUAUUGGGCGUAAAGCGCACGUAGGCGGCCUGCUAAGUCGGGUGUGAAAGCCCUCGGCUUAACCGAGGAAGUGCAUUCGAAACUGGCAGGCUAGAGUCCUGGAGAGGGCGGCGGAAUUCCCGGUGUAGAGGUGAAAUUCGUAGAUAUCGGGAGGAACACCAGUGGCGAAGGCGGCCGCCUGGACAGACACUGACGCUGAGGUGCGAAAGCGUGGGGAGCAAACAGG